This 253-nucleotide ribosomal RNA is filed under the name uncultured bacterium. RNAcentral's name for it is "partial 16S ribosomal RNA". It matches the Rfam family "Bacterial small subunit ribosomal RNA", at positions 524 to 776 of the family's 1533-position model. The record is from RNAcentral.
UACGGAGGGAGCUAGCGUUAUUCGGAAUUACUGGGCGUAAAGCGCACGUAGGCGGCUUUGUAAGUUAGAGGUGAAAGCCUGGAGCUCAACUCCAGAACUGCCUUUAAGACUGCAUCGCUUGAAUCCAGGAGAGGUGAGCGGAAUUCCGAGUGUAGAGGUGAAAUUCGUAGAUAUUCGGAAGAACACCAGUGGCGAAGGCGGCUCACUGGACUGGUAUUGACGCUGAGGUGCGAAAGCGUGGGGAGCAAACAGG